RNAcentral lists this transfer RNA (64 nucleotides) under Dendrobaena veneta. Its description in RNAcentral is "tRNA-Ser". Lineage: Eukaryota; Metazoa; Annelida; Clitellata; Crassiclitellata; Lumbricidae. The record is from RNAcentral.
AGAUUGAUCGGAAUAUGUAAAAACUUCUAAUUUUUCCAAGGGGGUUCAACUCCUCCACAAUCUU